GGUGCUCGAGUGGCGAACGGGUGAGUAACACGUGAGUAACCUGCCCUUGACUUUGGGAUAACUUCAGGAAACUGGGGCUAAUACCGGAUAGGAGCUCCUGCUGCAUGGUGGGGGUUGGAAAGUUUCGGCGGUUGGGGAUGGACCCGCGGCUUAUCAGCUUGUUGGUGGGGUAGUGGCUUACCAAGGCUUUGACGGGUAGCCGGCCUGAGAGGGUGACCGGCCACAUUGGGACUGAGAUACGGCCCAG
RNAcentral lists this ribosomal RNA (247 nucleotides) under uncultured Actinomycetales bacterium. RNAcentral's name for it is "partial 16S ribosomal RNA". It matches the Rfam family "Bacterial small subunit ribosomal RNA", at positions 86 to 334 of the family's 1533-position model. Lineage: Bacteria; Bacillati; Actinomycetota; Actinomycetes; Actinomycetales. The record is from RNAcentral.